GACGAACGCUGGCGGCGUGCUUAACACAUGCAAGUCGAACGGAAAGGCCCUGCUUUUGUGGGGUGCUCGAGUGGCGAACGGGUGAGUAACACGUGAGUAACCUGCCCUUGACUUUGGGAUAACUUCAGGAAACUUGGGCUAAUACCGGAUAGGAUCUCCUGCUUCAUGGUGGGGGUUGGAAAGUUUAGGCGGUUGGGGAUGGACUCGCGGCUUAUCAGCUUGUUGGUGGGGUAGUGGCUUACCAGGGCUUUGACGGGUAGCCGGCCUGAGAGGGUGACCGGACACAUUGGGACUGGAAUACGGCCCAGACUACUACGGGAGGCAGCAGUGGGGAAUAUAGCACAAUGGGAGGAAGCCUGACGCGGCAAAGCCGCGUGCGGGAUGACGGCAAUCGGGUUGUAAACCAAUUCCGCUUGAGCCGAGGCGUGAGUGACGGUAAUGGGUAAAGAAGCACCGGCUAACUACGUG
RNAcentral lists this ribosomal RNA (468 nucleotides) under uncultured bacterium. RNAcentral describes it as "partial 16S ribosomal RNA". It matches the Rfam family "Bacterial small subunit ribosomal RNA", at positions 28 to 507 of the family's 1533-position model. The record is from RNAcentral.